GUUUAUGGCCUCUCAAUUCUCCAGGAGUAUAUGGAGGUGCCUCUGAAAAUCUCCAAGUAAUGCUCGUAGAGAGGUGAUGGUGGCAGCAGCAUCACUACCUCAGCUGGAAUGAGAGCUCCAGAAUUAUUGUGGGCAUAUCCCAAGGUUUCAGCUAGCAAGAACCCUGGUGGGUCUACCUGGCAUUGUCUACUCCAUUGGACUCCCAGAAGCUGCUCUGCCAUCUGUCCGUACCCUGAAUAUCAUCGGCCUGUUAUAAGCACAAGUCAGAGCGACUACAAAGAAGAAACGAAGGAAGAAAUGCAUCUGGGCUUGUAUCCAAUUGGAUUACUGUCAACCUCAUCCAGCUGAGAAGGGAAAAGACAGAUGUACUGAUGGUCACCGAAAUGAGAUGGAACAAAAGACAACAACCUGAGCAGAGACGAAAAGCAGUCAAGACCAAAGGUUUCUUCGACUCCAAACCACAGCCACGUCUCCAUCAUACAGACCAUCCUUUGCAACUUCAGCUUGUGUCAAACAUCCCCUUUGGCAAAACAGCUCUUGCAAUGGAGCUAUCUCCA
Molecule: long non-coding RNA, 557 nt
Filed under: Gallus gallus (chicken)
Lineage: Eukaryota; Metazoa; Chordata; Aves; Galliformes; Phasianidae
Source: RNAcentral